GAGGGAGGACGGCUUUUGGGUUGUAAACCUCUUUUAUCAGGGAAGAAUCGAUGACGGUACCUGAUGAAUCAGCAUCGGCUAACUCCGUGCCAGCAGCCGCGGUAAUACGGAGGAUGCAAGCGUUAUCCGGAAUUAUUGGGCGUAAAGCGUCCGUAGGUGGUUUAUCAAGUCUGCUGUCAAAGCGUGCGGCUUAACCGCAUAAGGGCAGUGGAAACUGAUGAACUAGAGUGCGAUAGGGGUAACAGGAAUUCCCAGUGUAGCGGUGAAAUGCGUAGAUAUUGGGAAGAACACCAGCGGCGAAAGCGUGUUACUGGGUCUGCACUGACACUGAGGGACGAAAGCUAGGGGAGCGAAAGGGAUUAGAUACCCCCUGUAGUCA
Molecule: ribosomal RNA, 379 nt
Filed under: Leptolyngbya sp. TCF-7c
Lineage: Bacteria; Bacillati; Cyanobacteriota; Cyanophyceae; Leptolyngbyales; Leptolyngbyaceae
Also listed under: 1 other name
Description: bacterial SSU rRNA
Rfam family: Bacterial small subunit ribosomal RNA
Source: RNAcentral